This 473-nucleotide ribosomal RNA is filed under the name uncultured bacterium. Its description in RNAcentral is "bacterial SSU rRNA". It matches the Rfam family "Bacterial small subunit ribosomal RNA", at positions 355 to 825 of the family's 1533-position model. The record is from RNAcentral.
UGGGGAAUAUUGGACAAUGGGGGCAACCCUGAUCCAGCAAUGCCGCGUGUGUGAAGAAGGCCUGCGGGUUGUAAAGCACUUUAGUUGGGGAGGAAGGGUUUUCACUUGAAUAGAGUGGAGCAUUGACGUUACCCAAAGAAUAAGCACCGGCUAACUCUGUGCCAGCAGCCGCGGUAAUACAGAGGGUGCGAGCGUUAAUCGGAAUUACUGGGCGUAAAGGGUGCGUAGGUUGUUUGUUAAGUUAGAUGUGAAAUCCCCGGGCUUAACCUGGGAAUGGCAUUUGAUACUGACGGACUAGAGUCGGGUAGAGGGAAGUGGAAUUUCCGGUGUAGCGGUGAAAUGCGUAGAUAUCGGAAGGAACACCAGUGGCGAAGGCGGCUUCCUGGACUUAGACUGACACUGAGGCACGAAAGCGUGGGUAGCAAACAGGAUUAGAUACCCCCGUAGUCCCUGAGCGGGCUGGCAAGGCGCAU